This 758-nucleotide ribosomal RNA is filed under the name Klebsiella sp. BN-4A. Its description in RNAcentral is "bacterial SSU rRNA". It matches the Rfam family "Bacterial small subunit ribosomal RNA", at positions 147 to 901 of the family's 1533-position model. Lineage: Bacteria; Pseudomonadati; Pseudomonadota; Gammaproteobacteria; Enterobacterales; Enterobacteriaceae. The record is from RNAcentral.
CUACUCUGGAACGGUAGCUAAUACCGCAUAACGUCGCAAGACCAAAGAGGGGGACCUUCGGGCCUCUUGCCAUCAGAUGUGCCCAGAUGGGAUUAUGCUAGUAGGUGGGGUAACGGCUCACCUAGGCGACGAUCCCUAGCUGGUCUGAUGAUGGAUGACCAGCCACACUGGAACUGAGACACGGUCCAGACUCCUACGGGAGGCAGCAGUGGGGAAUAUUGCACAAUGGGCGCAAGCCUGAUGCAGCCAUGCCGCGUGUAUGAAGAAGGCCUUCGGGUUGUAAAGUACUUUCAGCGGGGAGGAAGGCGAUAAGGUUAAUAACCUUGUCGAUUGACGUUACCCGCAGAAGAAGCACCGGCUAACUCCGUGCCAGCAGCCGCGGUAAUACGGAGGGUGCAAGCGUUAAUCGGAAUUACUGGGCGUAAAGCGCACGCAGGCGGUCUGUCAAGUCGGAUGUGAAAUCCCCGGGCUCAACCUGGGAAACUGCAUUCGAAACUGGCAGGCUGGAAGUCUUGUAGAAGGGGGUAGAAAUUCCAGGUGUAGCGGUGAAAUGCGUAAAAGAUCUGGAAGAAAUACCGGUGGCGAAAGGCGGCCCCUGGACAAAACUGACGCUCAGGUGCGAAAACGUGGGGAGCAAACAGAAUAAAAUACCUGGUAGUCCACGCUGUAAACAAUGUCACUUGGAAGUUGUUCCCUUGAAGAAUGGUUCCGAACUAACCCGUUAAUUCACCCCCUGGGAGUACGNCCCAAGUAAAAUC